This 585-nucleotide long non-coding RNA is filed under the name Pongo abelii (Sumatran orangutan). RNAcentral's name for it is "lincRNA". The record is from RNAcentral. Lineage: Eukaryota; Metazoa; Chordata; Mammalia; Primates; Hominidae.
AUUGAGUAGCCAUCAGAAAGGAUGAACUAGAUGUAUUCCAGUGAGAGACGUUACCAGGAGGUAGGAACUAUAAAGUUCAUGGUACUCAAGGGGGUCUCUGACCAAAAAAGGAUUAAGAAGAAUUGAGGCAAAAGUUGGAGUCACCCAGGCUGGAGUGUAGUGGUACGAUCUCAGCUCACUGCAACAUCCACUUCCCAGGUUCAAGCAAUUCUCCUGCCUCAGCCUCCCAAGUAGCUGGAAUUACAGGCACACAACGAGACAUUCUCCAGAUCACCUGGCAUCUAUCUAGCUGGGGCCACAAGGUUUUUUUCUGCCAACGGAAUAUGUGCAGAAGUGAUGUAUACGACCUCAGAGCCCAGCCUCUAAAUAUCCUGUGUCAUGCUCCACAUUCUGUCCAUUCAUCUCUCAGUUAACUAAAUAGAAGUGAUGCAAGGGAGGACUCCAAGGAAGCCCUAAGGAUCAUGAAGCUACAUAAUGGGAGAAUUGCUGUCACCACAGUUCUGGAAGAAGAAUUGUUCAGGAGAACAGCCAUUGGACUAUGGCAUGCCAAAGAAAUAAAUCUCUGUUGUGAAACCACAAUAAAAG